CUGCCUGUGUGCCGUCAUGCUUCCCACUAUAAUGCUAAUGGACUAAACCUCUGAACUGAAAGAGAUGACCAUACCUGUCACGCCUGCUGUAUGAGAUGCUAUGCAGCUGUAAUGAGGUUGUCAGGGCAGUGUCAUGGCCACAGCAGAAGUGAAGAUGAGCAGAUGGUGUCAACCUGACAGAAGAGACAGGCUGAGACAUGACCAAAGUGACAGGAGAAUAUGUGGAAGAGUUCGAGGUGACAAUAAUCCUUUUCUGUCGUGGCUUUGCACAGAGACAUUUGAACAUCUGUGUGGGUUAAAAGUUCAGUCAGCAAAAGGAGAGAGCCCCGGGUGGUGGCUAAAGUCAGAGCACUUUGAGCAACCAAGCAAGUCAAGUAGCAUAUUUCAGAAAAUAAAAUAAAACUCUCGGCUAUGGAUGGAAACAAAUGAUGGAAGAAGCCAACUGCCUGGAGAAGAAUUCCAAGUAAUUUUACAUACAUAUUCCAUGUUCAAGGAUGUGGAGUCUAACUCCCCAUUUCUUAACUGUGGGCUGAGAACUGUGAUAUCCUUCCUAAGGACUUAGUGUGGAAAUGGGGGAAAGACCACUUAGAGAGAAGCCAUCUGAUAAACACUUCCUCAGCCAGGGAUGAAGGUCAACAUCACCUGUGAUGGGUUAUGGGGGAAAAAUGUACCCAUGAAAACACAGAAUUCAAAUAUCAUUGGAAUUUUACAGUCUCCGUCAAAAACCCAGAACCACUGAAUGAUUGUGAGAAAAAUGCCCGACAAAUCCAAAUGAAUGCACCUUAUACAAGCAUAGUCAACCACCACUUUUCAAAACAGACAACACAGCACACACCACCACCACCACCACCACCAUCAGGACCACCAGCAGCAGCAGCAGCAGCAGCAACAAAACUGAAAAACUGUUAGAGCCAAGAAGAGUCAAAUAAGACAAAAUGACUAAAUGUAACAUGGUAUCCUGUAUGGGGCCCUGGAUCACAUGAAGGGAAUUACAUAAAAUACAAAAACAAUGUGAACAAGUUGUAAAUGUUACUUACUAGUGAUUUGUUGAUUUUGGUGCAUUAACCAUGAUUAAGAAAUACAUCCUGGUAUCUAAGA
Molecule: non-coding RNA, 1098 nt
Organism: Cricetulus griseus (Chinese hamster)
Lineage: Eukaryota; Metazoa; Chordata; Mammalia; Rodentia; Cricetidae
Source: RefSeq, a predicted model, not a curated record